UUAAGCAUAUAAGUAAGUGGAGGAUUUGAAACCAAAUGGGAAUUCUUAAGUAAUGGCGAACGAACAGGAAUAAGCCUAGCGUGGAAAUUGAGGUUCGUAACCUUGAAUUGUUUUCUUCAGACGUUAUCCCAGCAAAGGUGCACAUGUAGAUGUUUUGGAAAAGGAUUUCGAGGAAGGUGACAUGCCUGUCUGAGUUGUGUGGUCCUUUGUAUACGGGAUUGCGUUUCAUGAGUCACGUUCCUUGGAAUUGGAACGCAAAGUUGGUGGUAAUUUUCACCCAAGGCUAAUUAUAAGUGUGAAACCGAUAGCAAACAAGUACCAUGAGGGAAACAUGAAAAGGACUUUGAAAAGAGGGUUAAAAGUGCUUGAAAUUGCUGAACUGGAAGCGAAUGAUGUUUGAAUGCCCAUGGCAGAUUGCUGCAUUUUCGUGCUGCUCUGUGGGUUAUCAUCAUGGUGGCUCAUAGGUGCAGCGCUGCAAGUGUAGUGUUGCUGCCGUGGAAUGCUAGUUCCCUUAUGUAUUGGAGCAUGUUUUCAGAACCAUGGAAGCUCGCUGUUUGAGUGUGUGAAUGAUGCUGUAAUUGCUUAUAUGCAUUAGGUGUUAUGGUCACUUUGGGGAUGCAUCUGCUUUCUUCACUGGAGGUAGAUCCUAUCCUGGUUUGCUAGCCAUUGUUUCUAGUAAAUGGACAUCUUUUGACCCGUCUUGAA
Molecule: ribosomal RNA, 705 nt
Filed under: Tripos deflexus
Lineage: Eukaryota; Dinophyceae; Gonyaulacales; Ceratiaceae
Description: LSU rRNA
Rfam family: Eukaryotic large subunit ribosomal RNA
Source: RNAcentral